UAGGUGAACCUGCGGAAGGAUCAUUACUGAGUGAGGGCCCUCUGGGUCCAACCUCCCACCCGUGUUUAUUGUACCUUGUUGCUUCGGUGCGCCCGCCUCACGGCCGCCGGGGGGCUUCUGCCCCCGGGUCCGCGCGCACCGGAGACACCAUUGAACUCUGUCUGAAGAUUGCAGUCUGAGCAUAAACUAAAUARGUUAAAACUUUCAACAACGGAUCUCUUGGUUCCGGCAUCGAUGAAGAACGCAGCGAAAUGCGAUAACUAAUGUGAAUUGCAGAAUUCAGUGAAUCAUCGAGUCUUUGAACGCACAUUGCGCCCCCUGGUAUUCCGGGGGGCAUGCCUGUCCGAGCGUCAUUGCUGCCCUCAAGCACGGCUUGUGUGUUGGGCUCCGUCCCCCCGGGGACGGGUCCGAAAGGCAGCGGCGGCACCGAGUCCGGUCCUCGAGCGUAUGGGGCUUUGUCACCCGCUCUGUAGGCCSGGCCGGCGCCAGCCGACAACCAAUCAUCCUUUUUCAGGUUGACCUCGGAUCAGGUA
This 533-nucleotide ribosomal RNA is filed under the name uncultured fungus. RNAcentral's name for it is "eukaryotic LSU rRNA". The stretch from base 200 to 353 matches the Rfam family "5.8S ribosomal RNA". Lineage: Eukaryota; Fungi. The record is from RNAcentral.